Molecule: RNA transcript, 7222 nt
Organism: Scatophagus argus
Lineage: Eukaryota; Metazoa; Chordata; Actinopteri; Scatophagidae
Gene name: SR-related and CTD-associated factor 4-like
Exons: 17
Source: RefSeq, a predicted model, not a curated record
UUCGAGUUUGGUUAGGUUGACACUAUCAGGGAAAGGCAAUCCGAGGCAGAGGAGGGCGGGUCAUGCCGUCGUCAUCCUAGGAAAAAAAUACCGCACACGGGGUGGAACCGCGUAACUAGUAGCAAUUCCUAGCAUAGCAGCGCUUUGGCUAGCAAUGUGACAUCAGGAUUAAAUUAGAGCCUUUCAACGUCGCUGGUUGUGUGUAUAACCGUAUAACUACACAUGGUUACGACUGGGUAGAGCACCUACACACGUUCGCCAGCUCUGUUUCAAUAUAACAAAGCAUUAUGGAUGCAGUGAACGCGUUCAACCUGGAGUUGUUCUCCAUGAUUGACUUGAAGCCUCCAAUAUCCCGUGCUAAGAUGAUGUCUGUAACAAAAUCAGCCAUCAAAGCAAUCAAGCUUUACAAACAUGUUGUCCAGAUAGUUGAAAAGUUUAUUAAAAAGUGCAAGCCAGAAUUAAAGGUCCCUGGUUUGUACGUGGUUGAUUCCAUUGUUCGACAGUCACGGCAUCAGUUUGGUGUUGACAAGGAUGUAUUUGGGCCCAGAUUUUUGAAGAACUUCACAGAUACCUUUCAAAACCUGUACCACUGUCCAGAAGAUGAUAAGAGUAAAAUUGUCCGUGUGCUGAACCUGUGGCAGAAGAAUGGUGUGUUCGACAUGGACAUCAUUCAGCCUCUGAUGGAUAUGGCAAAUGGAGUCAUGGUACCUGCCCCUGCACUGGAAGCUCACACUGACCUGCAGCCAGAGAUGCAGCCUCCUGUCACUAGUGCCUCAGUUGUGCCUGCUGUGCCCCAGCUACCAAAUCCUGACGCUUUAGCUGCCGUGGCACAGCUGUUUCAGUCCCCCCAUGGUCAGGAGCUGCAGAGGAUGCUCCAGAGCUUCCAGCAGGCAGAUAAGACUCUGGCAGCCACCAUCGCAAACAGCAUACCAACCCCCCCUCAGAUGCCUGCGACCCAGCUCAACCUAUACAAUGCACACACAGAAAAGAAAAAUUCUUUAGCUGAGAAACUUCUUGACCGAUUUGACUAUGAUGAUGAACCUGAGGAUAUGACGGCUAGAGAAGGCAGUCUCCAGACACAAGGCAUACCUGAAAAUGUAUUUAACCAGUUUCCUGUUCAGAUGCCCAACAUUGAGAAUGCUCAUCCACAUCCAAUGGGACAGACUGGUGUUAUAGAGCAUGGUGGAGGAUUGAGUCAUGGAGAACAUCAUAUGAUGCCAGAUGGAUACCACUCCACAAAUGAGACAUAUUCACAAUCUCGGGGUAAUUCGAGAGAAGAUUCAGCUAUGCGGCAGGAGGACAGACACAGAGGCUAUAGAUCCAGAUCUGGUUCCAGAUCUCCUUGGAGAAGAAGAUCAAGAUCUUCAUCCCGCUCAAGAAGGUCUAGGCAUCAUUGCUCUCGUUCUAGAUCCAAGGAGCGACGCUGGAGAUCUCGCUCUCGUUCUCGAGACAGGAGUGAACGAGAAAAGGACAGAGAGCGCAGACAGAAAGGCCUUCCCAGUAUAAAGAGCCAGACUCUCAGUGUUUGCAGCACCACACUUUGGGUCGGACAGCUAGACAAGAAAACUCAGCAGUCCGACGUGAUGUCUCUUUUGGAAGAGUUUGGGCAGAUUGAAUCCAUAAAUAUGAUUCCUCCAAGAGGUUGUGCUUAUAUUGUUAUGGUUCACCGACAAGAUGCUAAUACUGCCUUGAACAAACUCAGUAAAGGGUCAUACAGAGUCAAUCAAAAACCUGUUAAGAUUGCUUGGGCUUUGAACAAAGGUAUAAAACCAGCACACAAAAAGUUCUGGGAUGUGGAGCGGGGAGUCACCUACAUCCCCUGGAGCAAAGCCAAAGUUGAAGAGUUGGAGAGCUAUCGGGAAGGGGGUAUGCUAGACGUAGAGACACUAAAUCCAGAGUGGAUUAAAGCCAAGGACCUCAAUGUGCUGCCUGUUGUAAAUGGAGCACUGGAAAGUGUACCAGGAGAUGGAACCAUCACUGCUCACAGUCAGGUAAUGAUAAUACAGUCUUUAAAAAACUUUUUAAUAUUACGCUUUCUGUUAUUGUAUUUGUUCAAUGUCCUUUGUGUUGGACGCCUGCUUCACAAUCGUUCUUCUGGAGGAUGUAAGGAAAAUAAACUCUUGUUGCAUAUGGGUAGUGGAGCUUAUCUGAAACACUCUCAUUUUUUUUAUUUUUAUUUUUUCAACAAAAAUCAAGACACUGCAUCUUUAAUUUAAAGAACCUUAGCCAGAUAAAUGACUAAUUCUUCUAAAUCAAACCUGAAAUAUUUUGAUUGCUCUGUGCGGUGCAGUGUUAGAAAUACUGACUCUCCCAUUCAGUAGGAAAUACUGUGCAAGUCAAGAUGUGCUCAUGGCGCCUUUGUGAGAACUACUUAGCUUUAGAAAGAGUUUGGUCUAGACCUGCUUUAAUUGGAAAGUGUCAUGCGCUGAAUAAAUAAAUUGAAUUUGAGCUUUUAUCAGGACUUGUACCACGGGCCUAAUUGGCCGAAAAAUCUAUUAGGGUGUUAAAAUUAUGUACAGGGACACCUGAAACCUAGCUCCAGCCAAUAGUGAAAUCACUUUUAUAUUGCAAAUUUGUGCUCGGCCUGUGUGAAACCAUAAAGAGCCAUGGUCCUGUUACUGAUGUUGCUGCUCCUGUAUGUUAUCGUAAAUUUUUAAAACGACAUUUCAAACAAAGAUACUCAUAAUUUCCGCUGAAAGAAAGAUUAAAAAAUGAAUGAUAAUUCUCAAUUUUAGCCAUGGUAUGAAUGAGUUGUCAGGGUCAACACCCCGUCCAGUCCAAGAAUACAAAUUAAGAUGGGUUCAUCAUUUCUGUCAUAUUAAAUGCCCGUCAUUGCUGUUGAGGUUGAAAUAUCAACAUAGUUAUUUUUAGUGAUAUUUUAUGAUAAAUUAUGAAUUACAUAGAUUCCACCAGUAGCAGAUAUAUUCAAACCCAUAAUAAAAGCUUAAAAUUGUUGUCCUCCGAAGCUCGAACUAAAACUUGUUGAGAAAGUCUCUCAGCGCGGUCAAACAGCUUGUAAUGGUUACGUUUCUCAGCUUGCUGUCCAAGACUUGUGCUUUUAGCAAAGCUUGUCAGUUAAGAUGUGUGCAUCAGAUUUGGUAAAUUAAAGUAUGUUGGAGCACUAAAUUGAACUGUUUUAUUAAAAGAGAAAUUAUCAUGUUUCUGUCAUAAAUGAAUAUCAGAUUAUGUAUCUUCUAAGAGGGGUGUCAGCAUGUCACUUAUGUCUUCCUUUGCAUAAUUGAGGGCAAAUCUAAUUUAGUGAUUUUUAUCCACUUCACCACAAUUCAGAUAAGCUCCUCUGUUGAUGGGCAUGAAAUUCAUCCAUUUCUCCUUUUCCUUUGAAAAAUAUUUGCAUCUUCACUCAGUAACCCUGUACUGUGCAGUUUAUCGUAUUCAAAUAAAGUGUGGGAUUUACAAAAACUACUGUGGUAUGUGUAGAGGGAAGAAUUCCUGUGAUAAUUUCUCUGUUUAUAGUAACAAAGCUCUCUUACCAAGAAUAUCUCAGUUGGGGAAAAUUGUUUCAAAAAUUUUGAAUCUUCACAUCUGAUCACAAAACGUUUUCCCAACCAUCCACCAUCAGGUCUGCUAGCCUUUAUAUAAUGUGCGUAGCAAUUGCACAUUUUGGUAUCAAAGUCUGCUGAUGCGAUGUGCCACUCAAAACUAUGCAAUAACCGGUGAUGCCGUUGAGUUCAGUUGUGCAUGUGCAGUACUUAACUCUAACACCAAGAGGUAGCAGUGCCUUGCCUGCUGAAAAGCAAAAGAAGAGUUUGACCAAUCAUAUCGCUGGAUUCAUCCCCCUGCCCUCACCCAGACACUAAGCAUGGAUGAUCAUGAUUGACAAAUGCCUUAAGUCAUCUUGAGAGACUGCGAAAAUUUAUUUUAUCUUUCUCGCCCCCCCCUCCUCACUUCAAAUGGGUGUUAUCUCAAGUUAGGACGGCUCUUUUAACUCCUUUGCAAAGGUUAACAGACUUUAAUCCUGACAUGCCAGCCUUGGGAAAAUAUUUAAAGUUAGUAACAUUAGCCUUUUCAAGCUGUCUUGCUUGUUCACAAGGCGUUUAAAUUUGCAAAAUAACAUCAAGUUAUACUGUGUUUUGCAGUUUGUUAAUAUUGAAUUUUGUAAUGAUGAAUUCAAUGCAGAAAUAAUGAUGAUGAAUGAUAAUAACCUAGAAAAUUGUCGAGAGUAUGCAGGCAUGUGUAUGUGUGUGCACAUGCACGAUUCCUCUGGCUCUCAAAAAUGCCACACCAUACAUUUUGCACAUAUAGAAGUAUGAUUUUGACAUCAGGCUGCAAGGUACUAGAGGAAAUAUUGAAGCAGCUGAACCUCAAGUUACAAAUGUGUACCUACAAAAGCUGAUUGAGCUAUUUAAUUAUGAAAUGAAAUUGAAAAUCCUUUACAGAAACUCAUGAUUGAAAGUGUUUUACAUCUCUGUUUUACACUACAGUCAUUUUAUUCACAGCUGAUUUAUGCUGAAUAACUUGAUAUGGCAGUGAGUGGAGAAAUGACCAUGUGAUGUGCAGGGGAAGCAGUGCAAAAGCAUCCGAACUAAGCAUUGCACUACUGGGGAAACCAAAAUAUUCUUCCCAUGGUUGGCAGGUCUGCAGCCAACACAUUUUAAUCAGCGAAUUCAUGGAUCACCUUCUUGGUGAGAAAAUUGCUUAGUAGUUGUAGUGUUUUUGACAAUUCAUGUGAUUAUCUAAUGUGAAGUCAAAAUCUUAAGUUUUUAUUGAUGGUUUUGUUAACAUUCUAAAGCAAAUUAUGACCGAAUGCUGAAUAAACGGUUAACAAAUAGCUUUAAUAAAACAUGAUCGAGUGGACUGUCUGCAACCUACCAUACUUAGCAGGCCUAUUGAACUGCAGACCUCACUGUGAAGAAAGGUUGUUCACAACUAUUGAGGUCAAGAAUAUUUGACUGUUGGCUGCUGGUGGGACUUAAAGGCCCGACUGGAAGGAAGAGUUCCCAAGUGGGAGGCAAGGUAAGCCAACAACACCCUUAUCAAACUAUUCGAAAUGUUGCACUAAACCUGCCAAUUGUUGUUGAAAACUGGACAGGAGAUUUUUGAAUUUGUUUUGGCAAAGGGGAACAUUACCCGUCAAAACAAGAGCAGAGUCAUUGUUCAUUAAGGGGUGAACUUAAAAUCAAAUCACGUCUGCCGUUCCUAAGAGUGUUUCUUUACGAGCUGGAUGAGAUUUUGUACAUGCACUACAGUACAUACAGCAGAUUUCAGUGUGACUUAUCUGUGCUUUUCUUUUUACUGGACAUGGUGCUUGAAUGUGUACUGUUGACCGAAAAAUUAGGGGAAAAAACAAUUCUGCAACAAAACUACUCAAACCACUCAUUCAGCAUAUUGUCUUAGACGUCAGUGUUCUACAAAGAAUAUAGAAUUAUACCGCCCAAGCCUGCUGUUUUAUUUUGAAGAAAAUCUUGUGAAAAUGUAGUGGUCUUUGUACCUAAGACGAGAGAGCACAAAAUAGUCAAAUUUAUAAUUGUGGCAUUUAAUGGAAGGAAGCUGACAAAUUGAAACUUUCAAGACUGCUCUUGAAAUUACCUAAGAUGUUUUUGUGAUGAUAAAUAAAUAUAUAAAUAUCAGCCAAACCGAGGCGUAUACAAAUCUUAAAAUCAUAGUAGACAAAACAAGAUGUACUACAUUUGGGGUUAACCUUGGCUGUGAAAGUUGCUUGAGUUGACCCUUGUUGUUCUUGGCAAAGUGUAAAGUAGGGUUUGUUAGUAAGCUUUGUCAUGUUUGUUCCACGUUGGGCAGCAUGGAGUUAAAGGGACAGAAAUUUGAAUCGCCAUUAAAAGCAAACUCGUAUGUCCAAACACCUGUGCUGUUCUCUACUAUGAAUUUGUGCAGUUCCAGACCUGAAGGGAAAGAACGUUUUUUUGUUUGUUUGUUCUUGCUCUGGAUGUCUGCAAAAAGUGACAUGUUCUGUGAAGGUGCCUUCACAUUUACCCACCUUACCCAGCCAUUUGUUGGUUAUUUUAUACAAAACAAUGUGAAAUAAAAGGCCAUAUCUGGCUAGCUGCAAUACACAACUCGGCAUCUUCAGGGAUUGUUACUUCAGAAGGAUGAGAUGCUGCCACUCUUUUUGAUGUUUGUGUGUAAUUUUUGCUAUUGAGUGUGAUGGGUGGACAGAGAGGCCAUAUUUUUUCUCAAAUUAUCAGUUAUGAGAACCAUUUUCUUGUGGGAAAAUGCUCAUUUGAAAAUGAGUGAUAGUCAAUUUUGGCUGUUUUAAGUGCUCUUUUUUCUAAAGUUCCUCUGAUUCUGUGCAUUAUGAGGUUUUUGUCGCCACCGCUAAGUCUUUUAAUCUUAAGCAGUACUGCAUACCACAGUACAAAUGAUUCUGUGGCAGGUAUCUUACAUAUCCACAUAGUAAUAUGAUUUUUUUUAAAAGGACUGCACCUGUUUGAACUCUUUAGAUUCAAGACAUCACACUCAUAACGUUGCUCUUCUCAGGCUGACUAUUUUAAAUACGGACACCACUCAUCACUGGUGAAUGACCAUUUUGGAUGUGAGAUAUGGUGUCCACAUCAGUUGUGCAGGGUUUUUCUUAAGGAAGUAACCUCUGCAUUUCAAUAGUCGGUCAUCUGCCUCUGUGCUCUGCCUUCGCAAAGCAAGUUAUGUUGCUACAAAAGAUUAUCUUGCCCAAAGCAGCAAACUCCACCGUUCUUUAGACCAGUGAUGAUGAUAGCCUGUGUUGUAUGAUGUGCACCAUGACACCCAUACUGAUUUUUUUUUUCUGCAUAUGGAUCUGUGUACGUAAAGAGCACACUGCUGUUCUUUCUUCCAUCAUCAGUGCGUGUUAAUCCUCCAGAAAAGCUACGUGCUACACAUGCUCUCUGGUUUGGCACAUCCCAGCUACUGUACCUUGACUUUCUCUUCUGUCUGACAUGUUUGGACUGUGGCAUGGUGUCAAAUGACGCAUUUCGACUAAUGUGAUGAAGCCAGCAUUCGUUGGCCUGAAUGGAUGGAUUUCGCCUUUCGGCCAUCUAAUGCCGCAUAUGUGGACAUCAGGAAAAGCAGCUGCCACCUUUAGUAGCAUCUAAUGGGGAUCCGAAUAACUGCAGAAUAAAGCAGAGGAGAGAACAGGUACUACCAGCCGAACAGGCAGCACCUAUUGGAAGCCCACUUGCUUUCCCUGGACCAAUCAUGCUGUCCCCUACAUCCAUGCCUCCAGGAGGAGCUCCUUUCAUCCACACAGAGUUUGAACGUACAAAGUUAG